GUCGUAACAAGGUUUCCGUAGGUGAACCUGCGGAAGGAUCAUUACCACACCUUUAACCAAAUUCGAUUGAGUGUGUCUACUUGUAGGCACCUCAACUCGAACGUUCCGUGAACCAUACGUGUAAUUUCUGGGUUGAAACAAACCCCUUCCUUAACCUUUAAAUGACAGGAAACUUCUUCGGGAGUGAAUCGUCGACCUGAAACAAAAUGUCAUAGGAUGUGAUUAACCUCCAUCUGUAACUAAUGUCAAAACACUUUCAGCAAUGGAUGUCUUGGCUCCCAU
RNAcentral lists this unclassified non-coding RNA (282 nucleotides) under fungal sp. RNAcentral's name for it is "partial internal transcribed spacer region". The stretch from base 1 to 44 matches the Rfam family "Eukaryotic small subunit ribosomal RNA", at positions 1788 to 1831 of the family's 1831-position model. Lineage: Eukaryota; Fungi. The record is from RNAcentral.